GAGCAGUUAGUUUAAGUAAAAUAUUUGAUUUCGACUCAAAAGCCUAUGGUUUAAACCCAUAAUUGCCCA
RNAcentral lists this transfer RNA (69 nucleotides) under Elassoma zonatum (banded pygmy sunfish). RNAcentral describes it as "tRNA-Arg". It matches the Rfam family "tRNA". From Rfam's summary of the family: Transfer RNA (tRNA) molecules are approximately 80 nucleotides in length. Their secondary structure includes four short double-helical elements and three loops (D, anti-codon, and T loops). Lineage: Eukaryota; Metazoa; Chordata; Actinopteri; Centrarchiformes; Elassomatidae. The record is from RNAcentral.